This 252-nucleotide unclassified non-coding RNA is filed under the name Funneliformis mosseae. RNAcentral describes it as "partial contains 5.8S ribosomal RNA and internal transcribed spacer 2". The stretch from base 1 to 71 matches the Rfam family "5.8S ribosomal RNA", at positions 84 to 154 of the family's 154-position model. Lineage: Eukaryota; Fungi; Glomeromycota; Glomeromycetes; Glomerales; Glomeraceae. The record is from RNAcentral.
GUGAAUCAUCAAAUCUUUGAACGCAAAUUGCACUCCCUGGUAUUCCGGGGAGUAUGCCUGUUUGAGGGUCGUUAGAACAAAAAUCGAGGCGUCGCUCUUUUUUUUUAAGGGUGAUCGCCUCGGAAUUGAGCCGUCUUUCAAAUGUUAAAUCAUUUCAAAGGGGCUUGAAAUUCAUCCAUCCGGUAAGAUUAAAGCGUAUUUAAGAUCAACUUUGAUUAAGGACCCGCGAUGGACGGACCCUCUCAUUGAGUA